Long non-coding RNA from Sinocyclocheilus grahami, 480 nucleotides. RefSeq lists it as uncharacterized. NCBI's taxonomy places the organism in Eukaryota, Metazoa, Chordata, Actinopteri, Cypriniformes, Cyprinidae. The transcript is spliced from 3 exons. The record is from RefSeq and is a predicted model, not a curated record.
UUUGGACAAGGGGGAAGACUGCGAGGGUUCAGGGUGCCAUUUGGAAUAUUUCAUAGAAAAAUGGAAACCAAACCUGCAAAAUCGUGUCGUUUGUCAUAUCCAAGUUCACCACAGGUGUGCUGCGUCUGAGCCACUUCUGCAGAUUUUCCCUGUGAAAAUGUUAUCGGCCAUCUCGCCUGUACCGUUGACUCGUGGGGAGUGGCAGUGGUCAAAGGUGUGGUUAACGACUUAGCUCGUCACCCCAAGCUCUUGGUCACACACUCCUCAAAGUGGCAUCGCCUGAAGGGCACUGAUAACACGCAUCCUGCGCUUCUGUUGGUUGAUGUCCAGAGAACCGGCAAUCUCACACGGAAGAAUCUGUACAUUAGAGGAAAAGGAGCUGUGGUUCUUCGCCCUCGACUAGCCAAGCAGAACAACUGGGGGUUACGACAGACUGCGAAGGGGCCCAAGGAUGGAUUCCAAAGGGGUUAAUGCCACAAC